Molecule: ribosomal RNA, 418 nt
Filed under: uncultured bacterium
Lineage: Bacteria
Description: bacterial SSU rRNA
Rfam family: Bacterial small subunit ribosomal RNA
Source: RNAcentral
GACGAACGCUGGCGGCGUGCCUAACACAUGCAAGUCGAGCGGGAAAGUUCCCUUCGGGGAGCGAGUACAGCGGCGAACGGGUGAGUAACACGUAGGCAACCUACCCCGGAGACCGGGAGUAACCUGUCGAAAGGACGGGCGUAAUACCGGAUAAGACCACGAGGGCCUCGGCCCUUGAGGUAAAAGGUAGGCCGUCUGCUUGCAAGCUAUCACUCCAGGAUGGGCCUGCGCGCCAUUAGCUAGUUGGUGAGGUAACGGCUCACCAAGUCGAAGAUGGCUAGCUGGUCUGAGAGGAUGGCCAGCCACACUGGGACUGAGAUACGGCCCAGACUCCUACGGAGGCAGCAGUGGGAAUCUUGCGCAAUGGGCGAAAGCCUGACGCAGCGACGCCGCGUGGGUGAUGAAGGCCUGGUCGUAA